CAAUCUAAGUAUUCUCAUUAUAUAAGUUCCAAUUCUGGACAUAUUUUGUAAUCUAAAAACGAAUAUCUUUCUAGAUCUUCCACAUAUGUUGACCAACUUGUCUAUAGAAAAACUUUUGCCCAUUGCCUUCUAUUACUCCAUCAACUUUAUUCAUCAUAUUAUCCCCCUUCUCCAUUCAUUCUCAUCUCCUUCACACUCCAAAACUCUAUUAGCAAGUGUAGU
RNAcentral lists this long non-coding RNA (222 nucleotides) under Vigna radiata. RNAcentral's name for it is "long non-coding RNA (VRAD_LNC012714)". Lineage: Eukaryota; Viridiplantae; Streptophyta; Magnoliopsida; Fabales; Fabaceae. The record is from RNAcentral.